UCAAACUUGGUCAUUUAGAGGAAGUAAAAGUCGUAACAAGGUUUCCGUAGGUGAACCUGCGGAAGGAUCAUUAACAAGGUGACCGCCGGUCCGGUCCCCCGGGUGAACCCCGGUGGGACCCGUCCGCGCGGGCAGCCCCCCAACCCUUGAGUACGUACCCGGUUGUCUGGGCGGCGGGAGCCGUCGGCACCCCCGCCCGGAGGAUCCACCCCCGUACCCGACCUCCCGUACCUCUGAAAGGCUCUCUGUCUGUCAGUCAGAAUUCGAGCCAAAACUUUCAACAAUGGAUCUCUUGGUUCCGGCAUCGAUGAAGAACGCAGC
This 321-nucleotide unclassified non-coding RNA is filed under the name uncultured fungus. RNAcentral's name for it is "partial contains small subunit ribosomal RNA, internal transcribed spacer 1, and 5.8S ribosomal RNA". The stretch from base 1 to 73 matches the Rfam family "Eukaryotic small subunit ribosomal RNA", at positions 1759 to 1831 of the family's 1831-position model. The record is from RNAcentral. Lineage: Eukaryota; Fungi.